RNAcentral lists this unclassified non-coding RNA (21 nucleotides) under Chlamydomonas reinhardtii. RNAcentral's name for it is "small RNA Cre_3483". The record is from RNAcentral. Lineage: Eukaryota; Viridiplantae; Chlorophyta; Chlorophyceae; Chlamydomonadales; Chlamydomonadaceae.
UGGUGGGCUUGGGUGGCAAGG